Molecule: non-coding RNA, 44 nt
Organism: Trichobilharzia regenti
Lineage: Eukaryota; Metazoa; Platyhelminthes; Trematoda; Strigeidida; Schistosomatidae
Source: Rfam
ACCAGCUGACGAGUCCCAAAUAGGACGAAAUGCGCAUCCUGGAU